This is a small nuclear RNA of Pteronotus mesoamericanus, 107 nucleotides long. NCBI's taxonomy places the organism in Eukaryota, Metazoa, Chordata, Mammalia, Chiroptera, Mormoopidae. The record is from RefSeq and is a predicted model, not a curated record.
GUGCCUGGUUCGGCAGCACAUAUGCUAAAAUUAGAACGAUACGGAGAAGAUUUGCAUGGCCCCUGUGCAAGGAUGAUGCACGAAUUCAUGAAGCGUUCCAUAUUUUU